ACGGCUACUACUUCCCCCACGCUGCUGCUACUACAGAAAUACUACAGGAACUCAGUGAAGACUGAGGGAGAGGGCCGUAUAUGUUCUAUUAGUGAUAGUAACAGUGAUAGCAGGAAUAAAACUGGGUAGCAGUUUAAUACUUUACAUAAUGAUUUUUCUUCUGGUUUGUGUUCUGGAUUUUGUUCCAUUUUUGCUGUCAUAAAUUUGUGGAGUCUGGUAUAUUCUGGAUUGUGCUUUAAAUGAAUACUUUGUAGUGUGCUUAUCUUAUGGAUUUUUCAAAUGCCAUGGUUUUGAGUGGUCUAAACCAGUGUUUUAUUUUUUUUGUUCACUUGGGUCUUUUAAAUUUUUUUUAAGUGCAGCUCACAGAAGAGCUGUUGCUGGAGGAAGUUACCACACUUGCUUUAGAUAAUGAAACAUACAUUCAAAAAUGGUCAGGGAUUUCCCCUGAGCCACCCACCAAUUGCUUGAAAUGACAUUUUCAUUCUGAGUGCUUUUUUUUUUUUUUUUUUUGUUUAAGAUCCUGGAGCACAGGGAAAGAGUUUUAAUGCAAAAUACCAGAAAAAAAAGUCUGCAACAUCUCCUGUGAGCGGGGGGAGAAAAGGAGAUUAACAAUUGCAUCUUGAAACACGCAUGAUUUGAGGCCAUAUGUGUCCUUUGAACUCUGAAGAAGCUGUGCCAAAAGGAAGCCUUCUCCUCCCCUCCUCCCAUCGCGGAGCCGCUCUUAGAUAAUUGCAAUUAGUAGACAAUGCGGAGCGAACCCAAAUGUGAAGUCUAUGGGUACAGUUUACUCUGUGCAACUUGUAAACUCCAUGGAGCAGGUGUUUGUACAGUGCAUAGCACAGCAGGACCCAGGUUUCAUCGAGGUGUCUGGACAUGCUCUUAUCUCUACCUUACUUUAUUUGAAAGAGGAAAGCCAGUGAGGACCUGUGAACAAUCCAGCAGCUUCUGAAAAAUCUUCAUGCUAAAGGAUAAUCCAGAAUUCCCUGAAGAAGAACAAAGUGAAUGUUGUGAGUUCCUAACACUGAUAACAAAUACUUCCAAUUGUGUCUUUUGGGAGGUAGUAUCUGCCCUGUAUUGUUUGGUCUCUUCCCUGUGAUGCACUGAGCACCAAACACUUGAAUUUCUCUCCCUCCUAAUUUUUUUUCUUUUAAUGGGUUUAGGAGAAGAGUAGUAUUUUCUAAGGAAAGAUGGGGGAUUUCUUUUCCUUGGACUGCUACAGUGAUUUGUCAUACUGCUAUUGCUUUUUAGUUAAAUAUCUGAGCCUGGACUGGAAGACCAUGGGACUGUGUAGCCUAACAAGAAUGAAAAAUACAAUGGCUAACAGUCCAUGAAUCUGCAGGUCAGAUUCAGGAGUUUUAUGCAUGCUUGCACAAUGGUUGAAGUUAUUUGACCACUUUCAAAUUAGAGGAAUGCAAAUGUAGUUAUUUCUGUAGUUAUUUCUGGUAUUCCAAACUCCUGAUGGUCAGUUUUGUAUAUUAGUUUGAGUAUUUCCAGUACAAAUGCUCCUCUCAGAGCUUUGUGUUCAUGGGAACAGGAGUAGCACACCUUUCCUAGGGAAAUACAGUCACUCAACUAAGACCUUGAUUCAGCUGUGGUAUUAAUGAAAAAAAAUGUUCCCAUGAGGGAUGGCUAAAGAGAAAGCAUGAAUAUUUUUAUGUUCAUUGUUUUUUCUUGAAGCCCACUGCUUUUCUGGGUUGAAAUGGGGAAACAUGCUGAUCAAAUGUAAACAUUCUCACAAAAAGAGGAAAACAAGAGUUCUCUGCCUGCCAGGUUUUAGAAUAAUCCUUAUU
Molecule: long non-coding RNA, 1790 nt
Filed under: Camarhynchus parvulus
Lineage: Eukaryota; Metazoa; Chordata; Aves; Passeriformes; Thraupidae
Description: lncRNA (ENSCPVG00000017146.1)
Source: RNAcentral